RNAcentral lists this ribosomal RNA (253 nucleotides) under uncultured bacterium. RNAcentral describes it as "partial 16S ribosomal RNA". It matches the Rfam family "Bacterial small subunit ribosomal RNA", at positions 524 to 776 of the family's 1533-position model. The record is from RNAcentral.
UACGUAGGGUGCAAGCGUUGUCCGGAAUUAUUGGGCGUAAAGAGCUCGUAGGCGGUCUGUCGCGUCGGGAGUGAAAACCCAGGGCUCAACCCUGGGCCUGCUUUCGAUACGGGCAGACUAGAGUUCGGUAGGGGAGACUGGAAUUCCUGGUGUAGCGGUGAAAUGCGCAGAUAUCAGGAGGAACACCGGUGGCGAAGGCGGGUCUCUGGGCCGAAACUGACGCUGAGGAGCGAAAGCGUGGGGAGCGAACAGG